Molecule: transfer RNA, 85 nt
Filed under: Felis catus (domestic cat)
Lineage: Eukaryota; Metazoa; Chordata; Mammalia; Carnivora; Felidae
Also listed under: 4 other names
Rfam family: tRNA
About the family: Transfer RNA (tRNA) molecules are approximately 80 nucleotides in length. Their secondary structure includes four short double-helical elements and three loops (D, anti-codon, and T loops). Further hydrogen bonds mediate the characteristic L-shaped molecular structure. tRNAs have two regions of fundamental functional importance: the anti-codon, which is responsible for specific mRNA codon recognition, and the 3' end, to which the tRNAs corresponding amino acid is attached (by aminoacyl-tRNA synthetases). tRNAs cope with the degeneracy of the genetic code in two manners: having more than one tRNA (with a specific anti-codon) for a particular amino acid; and 'wobble' base-pairing, i.e. permitting non-standard base-pairing at the 3rd anti-codon position.
Source: Rfam by way of RNAcentral
GCCUGAGUGGCUCAGUUGGUUGAGCAUCUGACUUGGGCUCAGGUCAUGAUCUCAUGGUUUGUAGGUUCAAGCCCCAUGUCAGGCU